This 301-nucleotide ribosomal RNA is filed under the name uncultured bacterium. RNAcentral describes it as "partial 16S ribosomal RNA". It matches the Rfam family "Bacterial small subunit ribosomal RNA", at positions 509 to 807 of the family's 1533-position model. The record is from RNAcentral.
CAGUAGCCGCGGGAAUACGAAGGGGGCUAGCGUUGUUCGGAUUUACUGGGCGUAAAGCGCACGUAGGCGGACUUUUAAGUCAGGGGUGAAAUCCCGGGGCUCAACCCCGGAACUGCCUUUGAUACUGGAAGUCUUGAGUAUGGUAGAGGUGAGUGGAAUUCCGAGUGUAGAGGUAAAAUUCGUAGAUAUUCGGAGGAACACCAGUGGCGAAGGCGGCUCACUGGACCAUUACUGACGCUGAGGUGCGAAAGCGUGGGGAGCAAACAGGAUUAGAUACCCCCGUAGUCCCUGUCUCUUAUAC